RNAcentral lists this ribosomal RNA (1400 nucleotides) under Dechloromonas sp. UNPF85. RNAcentral describes it as "bacterial SSU rRNA". It matches the Rfam family "Bacterial small subunit ribosomal RNA". Lineage: Bacteria; Pseudomonadati; Pseudomonadota; Betaproteobacteria; Rhodocyclales; Azonexaceae. The record is from RNAcentral.
AGUCGAACGGCAGCACGGACUUCGGUCUGGUGGCGAGUGGCGAACGGGUGAGUAAUGUAUCGGAACGUACCUUUCAGUGGGGGAUAACGUAGCGAAAGUUACGCUAAUACCGCAUAUUCUGUGAGCAGGAAAGCAGGGGAUCGCAAGACCUUGCGCUGAUUGAGCGGCCGAUAUCAGAUUAGCUAGUUGGUGGGGUAAAGGCCUACCAAGGCGACGAUCUGUAGCGGGUCUGAGAGGAUGAUCCGCCACACUGGAACUGAGACACGGUCCAGACUCCUACGGGAGGCAGCAGUGGGGAAUUUUGGACAAUGGGGGCAACCCUGAUCCAGCCAUGCCGCGUGAGUGAAGAAGGCCUUCGGGUUGUAAAGCUCUUUCGGCCGGGAAGAAAUCGCAUGGGUUAAUACCCUGUGUGGAUGACGGUACCGGAAUAAGAAGCACCGGCUAACUACGUGCCAGCAGCCGCGGUAAUACGUAGGGUGCGAGCGUUAAUCGGAAUUACUGGGCGUAAAGCGUGCGCAGGCGGUUUAGUAAGACAGGCGUGAAAUCCCCGGGCUCAACCUGGGAACUGCGCUUGUGACUGCUAAGCUAGAGUACGGCAGAGGGGGGUGGAAUUCCACGUGUAGCAGUGAAAUGCGUAGAGAUGUGGAGGAACACCGAUGGCGAAGGCAGCCCCCUGGGCCGAUACUGACGCUCAUGCACGAAAGCGUGGGUAGCAAACAGGAUUAGAUACCCUGGUAGUCCACGCCCUAAACGAUGUCAACUAGGUGUUGGGUGGGUAAAACCAUUUAGUACCGGAGCUAACGCGUGAAGUUGACCGCCUGGGGAGUACGGCCGCAAGGUUAAAACUCAAAGGAAUUGACGGGGACCCGCACAAGCGGUGGAUGAUGUGGAUUAAUUCGAUGCAACGCGAAAAACCUUACCUACCCUUGACAUGUCCAGAAGCCUGAAGAGAUUUAGGUGUGCCCGAAAGGGAGCUGGAACACAGGUGCUGCAUGGCUGUCGUCAGCUCGUGUCGUGAGAUGUUGGGUUAAGUCCCGCAACGAGCGCAACCCUUGUCGUUAAUUGCCAUCAUUUAGUUGGGCACUUUAACGAGACUGCCGGUGACAAACCGGAGGAAGGUGGGGAUGACGUCAAGUCCUCAUGGCCCUUAUGGGUAGGGCUUCACACGUCAUACAAUGGUCGGUACAGAGGGUUGCCAAGCCGCGAGGUGGAGCCAAUCCCAGAAAGCCGAUCGUAGUCCGGAUCGUAGGCUGCAACUCGCCUGCGUGAAGUCGGAAUCGCUAGUAAUCGCGGAUCAGCAUGUCGCGGUGAAUACGUUCCCGGGUCUUGUACACACCGCCCGUCACACCAUGGGAGCGGGUUCCGCCAGAAGUAGGUAGCCUAACCGCAAGGAGGGCGCU